Molecule: ribosomal RNA, 254 nt
Filed under: uncultured bacterium
Lineage: Bacteria
Description: partial 16S ribosomal RNA
Rfam family: Bacterial small subunit ribosomal RNA
Source: RNAcentral
UACGUAGGGGCCUAGCGUUGUCCGGAUUUAUUGGGCGUAAAGAGCUCGUAGGCGGUUCGGUAAGUCAGGUGUGAAAUCUCCACGCUCAACGUGGAGGCGCCACCUGAAACUGCCGUGACUCGAGUCCGGUAGGGGAGUGUGGAAUUCCUGGUGUAGCGGUGAAAUGCGCAGAUAUCAGGAAGAACACCCGUGGCGAAGGCGGCUCUCUGGAACGCAACUGACGCUGAGACGCGAAAGCGUGGGGAGCAAACAGG